UCUUCAUCGCUCUCUCUCUCUCUCCCCUUCCCAAUUUCUUCAAGUUCUCAAACUCUCUCAAGAGCUCAAGAACAUAAUUUCCUCAAUUCUCAACGAAAUUUUGUGAUUCUUGUUGCUGAGAACUCGAAAUCCCUAUCUCUUUCUCCUUAUAAUCUCGGUUUUCCUCAAAGCAAGCUAAGGGCACGAUGGGGAGAGCCCGUGGAAGAGUGAUCAAGGAAGACAAAGGAAAGGGACUUACAUCUACUUCCCAAGACCAAGCUGUCACAGCAGAUGUCAAAAGUAUUAACUUACAAAAAAGUUUCAAUCUUUCUUUGAAAUGUUAUUAACUUGUUACAAAGUUUCAAUUUUUUUGCACUGGUUAUUUGUGGCAUGUACAUGUGGAUACGAGACAUAGCAUAUACAUAGUUUUCUCGAUGUACAUGUGGAUAACGUGAAUAUGUGUACAUA
Raphanus sativus (radish) is the source of this 447-nucleotide long non-coding RNA. RefSeq lists it as uncharacterized. The transcript has 2 exons. NCBI's taxonomy places the organism in Eukaryota, Viridiplantae, Streptophyta, Magnoliopsida, Brassicales, Brassicaceae. The record is from RefSeq and is a predicted model, not a curated record.